RNAcentral lists this ribosomal RNA (463 nucleotides) under uncultured bacterium. RNAcentral's name for it is "partial 16S ribosomal RNA". It matches the Rfam family "Bacterial small subunit ribosomal RNA", at positions 28 to 507 of the family's 1533-position model. The record is from RNAcentral.
GAUGAACGCUGACAGAAUGCUUAACACAUGCAAGUCUUUGGCGAAGCUGUGCUUGCACAGCCUAGCCAAGGCGGACGGGUGAGUAACGCGUAAGGAACUUGCCCUGCAGUCAGGGAUAACAGACGGAAACGACUGAUAAGACCUGGUAAAGUCAGGCGGACUCAUGUCCAGCCUGAUGAAAAGAGAUGCUGCAGGAGAGCCUUGGGUCCUAUUAGCUUGUUGGUGGGGUAACGGCCCACCAAGGCGAUGAUAGGUAGCCGGCCUGAGAGGGUGGACGGCCACGAGGGGACUGAGAGACGGCCCUGACGCCUACGGGAGGCAGCAGUGGGGAAUAUUGGACAAUGGGGGCAACACUGAUGCAGCAAUUCUGUGUGCAAGAUGAAGGUUUUCGGAUUGAAAAGUGCUUUCAGCAGGGAAGAAAAAAAUGACGGUACCUGAAGAAGAAGCGACGGCUAAAUACGUG